CCUACGGGUGGCAGCAGUGAGGAAUAUUGGUCAAUGGUCGGGAGACUGAACCAGCCAAGCCGCGUGAGGGAUGAAGGUACAGAGUAUCGUACACCUCUUUUGUCAAGGAACAAAGGCGGGGACGUGUCCCCGGAUGAGUGUACCUGAAGAAAAAGCAUCGGCUAAACCCGUGCCAGCAGCCGCGGUAAUACGGAGGCUGCGAGCGUUAUCCGGCUUUCUUGGUUUUAAGGGGUGGGCGGGCGGUCUGUUCAGUCAGGGGUCAAACCCGGGGGCUCAACCCCGGCCCGCCGUUGAAACUGGCAGUCUCGAGUUGGAGAGAAGUAUGCGGAAUGCGCGGUGUAGCGGUGAAAUGCAUAGAUAUCGCGCAGAACUCCGAUUGCGACGGCAGCAUGCCGGCUCCACACUGACGCUGAGGCACGAAAGCGUGGGUAUCGAACAGGAUUAGAUACCCGUGUAGUC
This 459-nucleotide ribosomal RNA is filed under the name uncultured bacterium. RNAcentral describes it as "partial 16S ribosomal RNA". It matches the Rfam family "Bacterial small subunit ribosomal RNA", at positions 338 to 795 of the family's 1533-position model. The record is from RNAcentral.